CAGAUAUUCCAGGUCUUCAGAGUCAGUCCAAAGAGUCCACUUUGGCUAAAUAGGACUGAACCAAGAUUUAAACCUGCAAAGUAUCAAGUGGCACAAGGCAUACGUGCAUUCAUUCCUAGGAAGAACAUGCCAAAUAUAGAGUGUUGUCUGGUCUUCGCAUGCUAGCCAGAACAGCAAGUUCUCUUCACUAUACUCUGUUCGAAGAAAUUCUCUGAAAAUAUUCCUACCGGCUGGUGUUU
Molecule: non-coding RNA, 239 nt
Organism: Pogona vitticeps (central bearded dragon)
Lineage: Eukaryota; Metazoa; Chordata; Lepidosauria; Squamata; Agamidae
Source: RefSeq, a predicted model, not a curated record